CCUACGGGUGGCAGCAGUGGGGAAUAUUGCGCAAUGGGCGAAAGCCUGACGCAGCGAAGCCGCGUGAGGGAUGAAGGUCUUCGGAUCGUAAACCUCUGUCAGCAGGGAAGAACGGUCACUGUGCUAAUCAGCAUUGAAUUUACGAUACCUGCAAAGGAAGCACCGGCUAACUCCGUGCCAGCAGCCGCGGUAAUACGGAGGGUGCGAGCGUUAAUCGGAAUUACGGGGCGUAAAGCUCUCGUAGGCGGUAUGUCAACUCAAGGGUGAAAUCCCCGGGCUCAACGUGUGAACUGCCUUUGAAACUGGUAAACUGGAGUGUGUGUGAGGAUAGUGGAAUGCCAGGUGUAGGAGUGAAAUCCGUAGAUAUCUGGAGGAACAUCAGUGGCGAAGGCGACUAUCUGGCACAUAACUGACGCUGAGGAGCGAAAGCGUGGGUAGCAAACAGGAUUAGAUACCCCAGUAGUC
RNAcentral lists this ribosomal RNA (465 nucleotides) under uncultured bacterium. Its description in RNAcentral is "partial 16S ribosomal RNA". It matches the Rfam family "Bacterial small subunit ribosomal RNA", at positions 338 to 795 of the family's 1533-position model. The record is from RNAcentral.